UUGGAGGGCAAGUCUGGUGCCAGCAGCCGCGGUAAUUCCAGCUCCAAUAGCGUAUAUCAAAGUUGUUGCAGUUAAAAAGCUCGCAGUUGAAUUUCGGGAUCAGAGUGUCGGUCGUGCCUCGGUACGCACUGGUAUUAUUGGUUCCUACCUUCUGAAGAACCGCGAUGUCAUUAAUUUGGUGUCGUGGGGAAUCAGGACUGUUACUUUGAAAAAAUUAGAGUGUUUAAAGCAGGCUUACGCUUGAAUACAUUAGCAUGGAAUAAUGAAAUAGGACGUUCGAUCCUAUUUUGUUGGUUUCUAGGAUUGACGUAAUGAUUAAUAGGGAUAGUUGGGGGCAUUAGUAUUCAAUUGUCAGAGGUGAAAUUCUUGGAUUUAUUGAAGACUAACUACUGCGAAAGCAUUUGCCAAGGAUGUUUUCAUUAAUCAAGAACGAAAGUUAGGGGAUCGAAGACGAUCAGAUACCGUCGUAGUCUUAACCAUAAACUAUGCCGACUAGGGAUCGGAUGAUGUUAAUUUUUUAAUGACUCAUUCGGCGCCUUACGGGAAACCAAAGUGUUUGGGUUC
Molecule: ribosomal RNA, 564 nt
Filed under: uncultured Glomeromycotina
Lineage: Eukaryota; Fungi; Glomeromycota
Description: SSU rRNA
Rfam family: Eukaryotic small subunit ribosomal RNA
Source: RNAcentral